Molecule: ribosomal RNA, 467 nt
Filed under: uncultured bacterium
Lineage: Bacteria
Description: partial 16S ribosomal RNA
Rfam family: Bacterial small subunit ribosomal RNA
Source: RNAcentral
GACGACCGCUGGCGGCGUGCUUAACACAUGCAAGUCGAACGGAAAGGCCCUGCUUUUGUGGGGUGCUCGAGUGGCGAACGGGUGAGUAACACGUGAGUAACCUGCCCUUGACUUUGGGAUAACUUCAGGAAACUGGGGCUAAUACCGGAUAGGAGCUCCUGCUGCAUGGUGGGGGUUGGAAAGUUUCGGCGGUUGGGGAUGGACUCGCGGCUUAUCAGCUUGUUGGUGGGUAGUGGCUUACCAAGGCUUUGACGGGUAGCCGGCCUGAGAGGGUGACCGGCCACAUUGGGACUGAGAUACGGCCCAGACUCCUACGGGAGGCAGCAGUGGGGAAUAUUGCACAAUGGGCGGAAGCCUGAUGCAGCAACGCCGCGUGCGGGAUGACGGCCUUCGGGUUGUAAACCGCUUUCGCCUGUGACGAAGCGUGAGUGACGGUAAUGGGUAAAGAAGCACCGGCUAACUACGUG